AGGCUACUCAAGAGCAGCUAACUGAGCAAAUAGCAGAAACAGUUCGCCAAGAACAGAACAGUAGAAAACCCCAGGCAGAGCCGAAGACAGUGACAGAAGGGAUUAUUGCUUCUGAAGAAGAAAAAAAUGAUUACAAGUGCAUCGCAUUUUCAGAGAAACCCACUGCCUGGCCUCUGGUGGACACUUAGGCAUAGAAUCAGCAUUUAGGGAAAAGCCAAAUCAAAGAGAGGUGAAUUCUUUACCGCUGAGCUGGAUGAGAUGUUUACAUGGACAAAAAGAUUGAGAAGCAAAAACACAAUGAGAAAGUGUAUUUUUGGCCUAGAAAAUGGAAAGAGAGAAGGAAAAAUAUCACUCCAGUCAGAAUGAGCACAGUGAACUGAAGUUAAAUACAGUAUAUUUUAUUUUGUGUCUCCCAUUUUCUUAUGUUACAACUUCAUUGAAAGAGAUGUGCAUGCAUGCUAAGUCCCUUCAGUCAUGCCUGAUUUUUUGUGACUCUGUGGACUGUAGUCAGCCAGGCUUUUCUGCCCACAGGAUUCUCCAAACCAGAAUACUGGAGUAAGUUGCAAGAGAGGUGAGAGGAAGACAAUUAAGUUGUUAUUAUCAAAUACUGGAGAAGGGCAUGGUGACCUACUCCAGCAUUCUUCCCUGGAGAAUCCCAUGGACAGAGGCGCCUGGCAGGCUGUAGUCCAGAGGGUUGUACAGAAUCAGACAUAACUGAAGCGACUGAGCACACGUUACCAAAUAUUGUUCUGCUGUGUUGCUGAAGCUUAUGAAGACGGCCCUGGAGCUUUUUCAGAGUUGUUUUACUUUAUGAAUAACUGUUUAAUUGUCCACUUGUUGGAGAACAGAUGCUGGGAUCUCCUA
RNAcentral lists this long non-coding RNA (864 nucleotides) under Bos indicus x Bos taurus (hybrid cattle). RNAcentral's name for it is "lncRNA (ENSBIXG00005017927.1)". The record is from RNAcentral. Lineage: Eukaryota; Metazoa; Chordata; Mammalia; Artiodactyla; Bovidae.